UUUGAAUUAAGAGAUGAAAGAAAAUAUGGAUAAAUGAUAUAAUAGUUACAAGAUUAAAGAAAGUAUGGAUAUUUUAAAAGAAGGGAUGAAUAAAUGUAUAAAGAGACAGUAAGGUAAGAUAUUUUAAUGAGUGAAUGACAGAAUAAAGCUUUGGAUUAAUAGAUGGAAGAAAAUAAGCAUAAACUAAGAUAAUACAAUAGUUGCAAGGUUAAAAAUGUAUGGAUAUUUUAAAGCAAGGAUGAAUAAAUGAAUAAAGAGACAGUAAGUUCUAAUGAGGAAAUAAAAGAAUAGAGGUCUGAAUUAAUAGAAGAAAAUAUGAAUAAAUAGUAAGGUAAAAGAAAAAAUGAAAAUGUAUGGAUAUUUUUAAGGAAGGUAUGAAUAAAUGGAUAGAUAGAUUGUAGGGUAAGAUGCUUUCAUGAGUGAAUGACAGAAUAGAGGCGUGAAUUAAUAGAAAGAAGAAAACAUGAAUAAAUAGUAAGGUAAACGAAAAAAUUAAAAUGUAUGGAUAUUUUUAAGGAAGGUAUGAAUAAAUGUAUAGAUAGACAGUAAGGUAAUCUGUUUUAAUGUGUAGAUGACAGAAGAGGUUUGAAUUAAUAGAUGGAAGAGAAUAUUGAUAAAUAGUGAUAGUUACAAGAUGAAAGAAUGUAGAGAUAACCUGAAAGAUAAGACAAAGAUUAGAUAAACCACAAAAAAAAACACCAGAUAACAGUAAAAUUUAUAUAUAUUCUUUCUUUCAUAAUAGAGCAAUAUUGGAAUUCCUCAACAUUACUUCUUUGUAUAGAUUUGUAUAAGAUAUUUUUUCCCUUUAUAUAUAUACCUAAAUGGACCUGACACACCACCCACGCAUUCACACGCCACCAAUCGAGCGUCCCACCCACACACCAAUACACCCACCCACCAAACCCUGCCUGGCGCUGAAUCACGGACACACACCAAUGCAGGAGUAAUCACGGAACAAAAUCUGGCGUUCAGCUAAGAGUAACUGCCAAGAGCUUAGCGGUGAGGGAAUGCGAUGAAACAAGUUAUAUUUCUAUUUUACACUUCGUGGUAAUGGCGAAUAAUUUACACCUUUAUUUUCCAUGGUUUUAAUUCAGUAUUCCUUCACCACUAGCUCCCUUCAUCCUGCAAGCACUGGAAACAUAAGUACAAGUGUGUUAUGCCAUGUUCCCUCACCACCAGCUCCUCUCAGCCUAACACCAGUACAGUACAUAAAGGAGGCAACACAGGCAUCAAUGACACAAACAAGGCACGGUACUUGUGAACAGCAGGAAAGUAAUGACGUCACAAUGCAUUAUCUUAACUCAGGUGUGUGUGUGUGUCUGUGUGUAUGAUCAACAAUAGUACAUCUUAUCAAAUUCAUCUUAAAAUAAUAAACAGUAAUACAUUCAGUAAUCAGGGAGCUUUGCAAUAAGAUUAAGCAGGAAAUUGGUUCUGAAAUACAAAUACAAAUACAAAUAGACAAGGUGAAAUAAUCAGUAUAUAGUCGGUACUAAGUUUUACAGCAAAAUUAAACAGGAAAUUGGUUCUUAAAUGUGGCUUAGAUGAUACACGAAGUCCAUGAGGAGCCUGACAAAGAAAUUAAGAAGGAAACUAAUCCUCAAAAUUAUCAACAUACACUCCAUAGCAAGACUUACAAUAGAUAGGACACUGGCUCGCAAACAUGGCUGGAAGUAACACGAACAACGUAGAGUUAACAUAAGACCUUCAUGCAAAGAAUAAGUAAGAAACUGUCUCUCAAGUGUGGCUGGAAGUAACAUGAACAGCAUAGAGUUAACAUAGAGUUUCACACAUAGAAUAAAUAAGGAACUGGCUCUCAAAUGUAUAUAUAACAGACUGACUGAGGUAACUUAGAACAUUCGGCGAUCAAUGAAGUCGAUACAAAGCUUUACGACAAGAUUAAACAUGAAACCAGCUCUGAAGUAUGGCUCAAAUAACCUGAAAUACACUUAGAUAACCUUGAAAUAAACUAAGGAGAAACAGACGCCAUAAUCAGAGUCAAUAUCAUCAAACUGCUUCACAAAUAUGAUAUCAAAAUCCUGAAAGACUAACAUAACAAGCUCAGUCACCAGUCAAGAAGAAGAAGGCCACGAUAAUCAGCUGGUGAGGAGAAGCAGUGCACAUCAUUGGUCAUUAGCAAGACUCGGAACACUGACACAACUAAAUCAAGACAAGAUGGGAAAGUGGACACAGACAGGGGUGCAUUAUAGAGAAAAAGCCAUGUGUUCAUCUAAUGGCUUCCGUGUGUGUGUGUGUGUGUGUGUGUGUAUGAGUUUUGUUAGGGAUUAGUGGUAGAAUAUGAGUGAGUGUGUGUGUGUGUGUGUGUGUGUGUGUGUGUGUGUGUGUGUGUGUGUGUGUGUGUGUGUGUGUGUGUGUGUGUGUGUGUGUGU
Molecule: long non-coding RNA, 2387 nt
Organism: Portunus trituberculatus (swimming crab)
Lineage: Eukaryota; Metazoa; Arthropoda; Malacostraca; Decapoda; Portunidae
Exons: 2
Source: RefSeq, a predicted model, not a curated record